UGAGGAGCGAAAGGCGGGGGAGCAAACAGGGGUUAGAUCCCUGGUAGUCCAUCCGUAAACGUUGGGAACUAGUUGUGGGGUCCAUUCCACGGAUUCCGUGACGCAGCUAACGCAUUAAGUUCCCGCCUGGGGAGUACGGCCGCAAGGCUAAAACUCAAAGGAAUUGACGGGGACCCGCACAAGCGGCGGAGCAUGCGGAUUAAUUCGAUGCAACGCGAAGAACCUUACCAAGGCUUGACAUAUACGAGAACGGGCCAGAAAUGGUCAACUCUUUGGACACUCGUAAACAGGUGGUGCAUGGUUGUCGUCAGCUCGUGUCGUGAGAUGUUGGGUUAAGUCCCGCAACGAGCGCAACCCUCGUUCUAUGUUCCAGCACGUAAUGGUGGGAACUCAUGGGAUACUCCGGGUCAACUCGGAGGAAGGCG
This 425-nucleotide ribosomal RNA is filed under the name uncultured bacterium. RNAcentral's name for it is "bacterial SSU rRNA". It matches the Rfam family "Bacterial small subunit ribosomal RNA", at positions 747 to 1175 of the family's 1533-position model. The record is from RNAcentral.